Molecule: non-coding RNA, 295 nt
Organism: Callithrix jacchus (white-tufted-ear marmoset)
Lineage: Eukaryota; Metazoa; Chordata; Mammalia; Primates; Cebidae
Source: Rfam
GCUAGGUGUGGUGGCACGUGCCUGUAGUACUAGCUACUUGGGAGGCUGAGGCUGGAGGAUUGCUUGAGUCCAGGAGUUCUGGGCUGUAGUGUGCUAUGCAGGUGACCACACUAAGUUCUGCAUCAAUAUGGUGACCUCCUGGGAGCGGGGGCCCACCAGGUUGCCUAAGGAGGGGUGAACCAGCCCAGGUCGGAAACGGAGCAGGUCAAAACUCCCGUGCUGAUCAGUAGUGGGAUCGUGCCUGUGAAUAGCCACUGCACUCCAGCCUGGGCAACAUCACAAGACCCUGUCUCUU